UACGUAGGGUGCGAGCGUUAAUCGGAAUUACUGGGCGUAAAGGGCUCGUAGGCGGCCAACUAAGUCAGACGUGAAAUCCCUCAGCUUAACUGGGGAACUGCGUCUGAUACUGGAUGGCUUGGAUUCGGGAGAGGAAUGCGGAAUUCCAGGUGUAGCGGUGAAAUGCGCAGAUAUCUGGAGGAACACCGGUGGCGAAGGCGGCAUUCUGGACCGAUAUUGACGCUGAGGAGCGAAAGCCAGGGGAGCAAACGGG
Molecule: ribosomal RNA, 253 nt
Filed under: uncultured bacterium
Lineage: Bacteria
Description: partial 16S ribosomal RNA
Rfam family: Bacterial small subunit ribosomal RNA
Source: RNAcentral